RNAcentral lists this ribosomal RNA (483 nucleotides) under uncultured bacterium. Its description in RNAcentral is "partial 16S ribosomal RNA". It matches the Rfam family "Bacterial small subunit ribosomal RNA", at positions 899 to 1397 of the family's 1533-position model. The record is from RNAcentral.
ACUCAAAUGAAUUGACGGGGACCCGCACAACCAGUGGAGCGUGUUGUUCAAUUCGAUACUAAGCGAAAAACCUCACCAGGGCUUGACAUGUAACUGCAAAUCCGGUGAAAGCCGGACUUCUUCGAGAGUGUUACACAGGUGCUGCAUGGCUGUCGUCAGCUCGUGCCGUGAGGUGUUCCCUUAAGUGGGGAAACGAGCGCAACCCCCGCCUAAUGUUACAUAUUCAUUAGGGACGGUCCCAUUUUUUGGGAAGGAAGGAGGGGAAGACGUCAAGUCAGCACGGUCCUUACGCCCUGGGCCACAAACACCCUACAAUGGCGAAAAACAACGUGUUGCGACACAGCAAUGUGAAGCUAAUCACUGAAAUUUCGUCUCAGUUCAGAUUGAGGGCUGCAACUCGCCCUCAUGAAGUCGGAAUUGGUAGUAAUCGCGGAUCAGCAGGCCGCGGUGAAUACGUUCUCGGGUCUUGUACACACCGCCCGU